CAGAUCGAUGAGGAUAAAUGGCAGCGUGUGAGUCAUCUAUGAGGAAUAAUACGUGUCUGGAACUCUGAGGUCCAA
This is a small nucleolar RNA of Hippopotamus amphibius kiboko, 75 nucleotides long. RefSeq annotates it as small nucleolar RNA SNORD113/SNORD114 family. The record is from RefSeq and is a predicted model, not a curated record. Lineage: Eukaryota; Metazoa; Chordata; Mammalia; Artiodactyla; Hippopotamidae. The transcript has a single exon.